CAUUUCUUUCUCCGGUAAAUUGUUGCAGUGGGAGGUAGCAGAAGCAUAUGAAAACAAGAAAGACUGUUUAAAAGGAAACCAAAUUCUUCCGAUAUAUCUGAAAUUAGCAGAUCAAGCCGAGUCCAGCAUGAGUCUGUUGCAUUUCACAUUUCUGAGGAUCCCAACAUUUAUUUGUAACACAGAAUCCAGAAUAGUGCCUUUAUCUGAACAGAAUAUAGGGUCUCUUUGUAGAGGUGAACAAAUGUGGUGCAGCAAUGGUGCAGCUGGCUGAGAGUUUUGGACCCUGUUUUCCCUGUCUCAGUGGUUAUCUGACACAACCAGGAUUUGCAGUUCUGGCUUGAAGCUACUACAAUAAUGCAAACUCAGUCUGGUUUUUC
Molecule: long non-coding RNA, 377 nt
Organism: Corvus hawaiiensis (hawaiian crow)
Lineage: Eukaryota; Metazoa; Chordata; Aves; Passeriformes; Corvidae
Exons: 4
Source: RefSeq, a predicted model, not a curated record